CCUACGGGUGGCAGCAGUGGGGAAUAUUGGGCAAUGGGCGCAAGCCUGACCCAGCAACGCCGCGUGAAGGAAGAAGGCCCUCGGGUUGUAAACCUCUUUUAUUCGGGACGCAACAAAUGACGCUACCGCCUGAAUAAGCCUCGGCUAACUAAGUGCCAGCAGCCGCGGUAAUACGGAGGGGGCAAGCGUUAGCCGGAGUUACUGGGUGUAAAGGGCGUGUAGGCGGUAGUGCAAUGCAGACGUGAAAUUCCAGGGCUCAACCCUGGAACUGCGUUUGAAACUGUUCUUCUUGAGAGAUGGAGAGGCAGGCGGAAUGCCGUGUGUAGCGGUGAAAUGCGUAGAUAUAAGGAGGAACACCAGUGGCGAAGGCGGCCUGCUGGACAUUAACUGACGCUGAGGCGCGAAAGCGUGGGGAGCAAACAGGAUUAGAUACCCUGGUAGUC
Molecule: ribosomal RNA, 443 nt
Filed under: uncultured bacterium
Lineage: Bacteria
Description: partial 16S ribosomal RNA
Rfam family: Bacterial small subunit ribosomal RNA
Source: RNAcentral